This 468-nucleotide ribosomal RNA is filed under the name uncultured bacterium. RNAcentral describes it as "partial 16S ribosomal RNA". It matches the Rfam family "Bacterial small subunit ribosomal RNA", at positions 28 to 507 of the family's 1533-position model. The record is from RNAcentral.
GACGAACGCUGGCGGCGUGCUUAACACAUGCAAGUCGAACGGACAGACCCUGCUUUUGUUGGUUUCUCGAGUGGCGCACGGGUGAGUGACACGUGUGUAACCUGCCCUUGUCUUUGGGAUAACUUCAGGGAACUGGGGCUCAUACCGGAUAGGAGCUACUGCUGCAUGUUGUUGGUUGGAAAGUUUCGGCCGUUGGGGAUGGACUCGAGGCUUAUCAGCUUGUUGGUGGGGUAGUGGCUUUCCAAGUCUUUGACGGGUAGCCGGCCUGAGAGGGUGACCGGCCACCUUGGGACUGAGGUACGGCCCAGACUGCUACGGGAGGCAGCAGUGGGGAAUAUUGCAGAAUGGGCGGAAGCCUGAUGCAGCAACGCCGCGUGCGUGAUGACGGCCUUCGGGGUAUAAACCGCUUUCGCAUGUGACGAAGCGGGAGUGACGGUAAUGGGUAAAGAAGCACCGGCUAACUACGUG